AGAGUUUGAUCCUGGCUCAGGACGAACGCUGGCGGCGCGCUUAACACAUGCAAGUCGAAUGGGUUCGGGGCUUCGGCUCCGGAUCAGUGGCGAACGGGUGCGUAGCACGUGAGCAACCUGCCCCUGUAUGGGGGAUAACCCUGGGAAACCGGGGCUAAUACCGCAUGCGCUCUAGGAGCUACCUGGCUUCUUGAGGAAAGUCCCUGAAAGGGGAUGUGCAGGGAGGGGCUCGCGGCGUAUCAGCUAGUUGGCGGGGUAACGGCCCACCAAGGCAACGACGCGUAGCCGGUCUGAGAGGACGACCGGCCACAUUGGGACUGAGAUACGGCCCAGACUCCUACGGGAGGCAGCAGUGGGGAAUUUUCCGCAAUGGGCGAAAGCCUGACGGAGCAAGACCGCGUGAGGGAGGAAGGCUCUUGGGUUGUAAACCUCUUUUGUCAGGGAAGAACACAAUGACGGUACCUGAAGAAUCAGCAUCGGCUAACUCCGUGCCAGCAGCCGCGGUAAUACGGAGGAUGCAAGCGUUAUCCGGAAUUAUUGGGCGUAAAGCGUCCGCAGGUGGCACUUCAAGUCUGCUGUCAAAGACCGGGGCUUAACCCUGGAAAGGCAGUGGAAACUGAGAAGCUAGAGUGCCGUAGGGGUAGAGGGAAUUCCCGGUGUAGCGGUGAAAUGCGUAGAGAUCGGGAAGAACAUCGGUGGCGAAAGCGCUCUACUGGACGGCAACUGACACUCAGGGACGAAAGCUAGGGGAGCGAAUGGGAUUAGAUACCCCCGUAGUCC
Molecule: ribosomal RNA, 780 nt
Filed under: uncultured cyanobacterium
Lineage: Bacteria; Bacillati; Cyanobacteriota
Description: bacterial SSU rRNA
Rfam family: Bacterial small subunit ribosomal RNA
Source: RNAcentral